CCCAGACAGCCAGGAUGUUGGCUUAGAAGCAGCCAUCAUUUAAAGAAAGCGUAAUAGCUCACUGGUCGAGUCGGCCUGCGCGGAAGAUGUAACGGGGCUAAACCAUGCACCGAAGCUGCGGCAGCGACGCUUAUGCGUUGUUGGGUAGGGGAGCGUUCUGUAAGCCUGUGAAGGUGGCCUGUGAGGGUGGCUGGAGGUAUCAGAAGUGCGAAUGCUGACAUAAGUAACGAUAAAGCGGGUGAAAAGCCCGCUCGCCGGAAGACCAAGGGUUCCUGUCCAACGUUAAUCGGGGCA
RNAcentral lists this ribosomal RNA (294 nucleotides) under Salmonella enterica subsp. enterica serovar Saintpaul. Its description in RNAcentral is "partial 23S ribosomal RNA". It matches the Rfam family "Bacterial large subunit ribosomal RNA", at positions 1084 to 1376 of the family's 2925-position model. The record is from RNAcentral. Lineage: Bacteria; Pseudomonadati; Pseudomonadota; Gammaproteobacteria; Enterobacterales; Enterobacteriaceae.